AUAUCAAUAAGCGGAGGAAAAGAAACCAACAGGGAUUGCCUUAGUAACGGCGAGUGAAGCGGCAAUAGCUCAAAUUUGAAAUCUGGCCUUCUGGUCCGAAUUGUAAUUUGUAGAGGAUGCUUUGAAUAUUGCCUUGGUCUAAGUUCCUUGGAACAGGAUGUCAUAGAGGGUGAGAAUCCCGUAUGCGACCAGGUGUCAUUAUUCAUGUAAAGCUCCUUCAACGAGUCGAGUUGUUUGGGAAUGCAGCUCAAAAUGGGUGGUAAAUUUCAUCUAAAGCUAAAUACUGGCUAGAGACCGAUAGCGCACAAGUAGAGUGAUCGAAAGAUGAAAAGCACUUUGGAAAGAGAGUUAAAUAGUACGUGAAAUUGUUGAAAGGGAAGCGCUUGCAAUCAGACUUGCAUGCAGUUGAUCAUCCGAUGUUCUCACCGGUGCACUCAAUUGCAUUCAGGCCAGCAUCGGUUUUGGUGGUUGGAUAAAGACCUUGGGAAUGUGGCUCCCUUCGGGGAGUGUUAUAGCCUAAGGUGCAAUGCAGCCUACUGGGACCGAGGACCGCGCUUUGGCUAGGAUGCUGGCGUAAUGGUUGUAAGCGA
RNAcentral lists this ribosomal RNA (590 nucleotides) under uncultured fungus. Its description in RNAcentral is "eukaryotic LSU rRNA". It matches the Rfam family "Eukaryotic large subunit ribosomal RNA", at positions 40 to 647 of the family's 3401-position model. The record is from RNAcentral. Lineage: Eukaryota; Fungi.